AUUGAGCGCUGGCGGCAUGCCUUACACAUGCAAGUCGAACGGCAGCAUGGAGAGCUUGCUCUCUGAUGGCGAGUGGCGAACGGGUGAGUAAUGCAUCGGAACGUACCGUGUAAUGGGGGAUAACGUAGCGAAAGUUACGCUAAUACCGCAUACGACCUGAGGGUGAAAGCAGGGGAUCGCAAGACCUUGCGUUAUACGAGCGGCCGAUGUGAGAUUAGCUAGUUGGUGAGGUAAAGGCACACCAAGGCGACGAUGUGUAGCGGGUCUGGUAGGAGGAUCCGACACACUGGGACUGGGACACGGCCCAGACUCCUACGGGAGGCAGCAGUGGGGAAUUUUGGACAAUGGGGGCAACCCUGAUCCAGCCAUGCCGUGUGAGUGAAGAAGGCCUUCGGGUUGUAAAGCUCUUUCGGCCGGGAAGAAAUCGCACAGGCUAAUACUCUGUGUGGAUGACGGUACCGGCAUAAGAAGCACCGGCUAACUACGUGCCAGCCGCCGCGGUAA
RNAcentral lists this ribosomal RNA (504 nucleotides) under uncultured bacterium. Its description in RNAcentral is "partial 16S ribosomal RNA". It matches the Rfam family "Bacterial small subunit ribosomal RNA", at positions 30 to 523 of the family's 1533-position model. The record is from RNAcentral.